AUGGAAAUUAUUUGGUGUAAAAUAACCAAAUUUGGUAUUUGGUUUAAAAAAAACAAGCAUAAAGCCUGUUCACCUCUCACCUAAUCCCCCUGAAAAUAAAUACCAGGAUGGAGCCUGUAGAGCUCUAUCGUUUCAGGAGACGGUAUUCAAAAUACGUACUUUAAAACUCCCACCCGGUACCUUAUUCCAUUCAGCUCAGGGCUUACAGAAGUUAUUUAUGGAAGGUUUGGGGAAGGGUGAAUAAAAGGUUACGUAGAUGUGAUUAACUUGGUAUUAACGCAAAAAAGAACCCCUCUAAUCUAGGAGCUUUGACUAUUUCACAAUGAGCUAAUAGGCAUUGGGGUGAAUUUAUGUAGCAAAUUGCUGUCUGCUGUAUUCAAAUUAUUCCCUGAGCUCUGACUCAUUCAGAAAGUACCAAAUAUCACAGAGACACACAAUUACCAUGCUUAAUUAAUGUUUGCAACCGAAAAGAGUAAGGUUGAAAUCUUUAAUAUCAUUGUAGAUAUCGAAGAACUGAAAUUGACUGAUUAUUAUCUUGAGAUUAAUAUAUUUUCCCCAAGCCAUACCCUCGGGUCAAAGGACCGAGUAUUAAAACUAUUUGAAAAAUUCACUACAAUAAUUGCUUUAGGGGCUAAUUUUUUUUUUUUUAAUGUCUUGCUUCCUUAUGCCUGCACUACUGAUUGUUAUAGCCUGCACACUUCACCCAUUAAGUGGUAAUUCAGAGUGACAACUACAUUGAAAUGAAGCAAGUUAGUUAAUCACCAUGAAACUGUUCCUGAAAUACCCUGGCCAAGUACUCCCGAAUCACUGGAGGCCUCUGUUACCGCAUUUUCUACUGAAGUGAGAUUUUCCUGCACGAGGCUGUAAAUAUUUUUAUGGGACAUACAGGACGGCAGAGGGCUGAAAUUUGGUUGGACUUGGUAGCAGAGAAUCCAGAAUCUUCUACGGAGCCACCGUAACCAGCACUGUGCAGAGCCCUCAGGGAUGUCCUGCAGGCGUGUCAGGGAAGCUGCUGACAAGCCGAGAGUCUGGGUAGGGCUACGGCACUUCUAAUAUGACUUGAUUUUCCCUAAAGCGGGACUUCCAGUGACAAACAGCUCUGUCAGAAAACACAUGCCCAGUCUUGUCUGCCCAUUUUGGCUAGCCUGCCAGGACUGCUGGGAGUAGAAGGUAGGCUGUGCCACGGUUGGGGGGGGGUCUGUUCCCCCUCUGGGGAAGUCCGAGUCGGGGCUCGUGGUGGACACCAAGCUUGUGAACAAGUUCACCUUUCCAAGAGACACAGAAGCCAGGCAAGGGGCUUGGACGCGACUCUGAGACCUGCCACGGCCCCUGCCUGGCUUGCGGGUUCACUGAUGGUCUGUGGGUUGUUCAUGGCAGCAUUCUUCCCCCCCGCAGACCCUCCACACUUCUCUCAGUGCAGGUAUUUGUGGACCGCUCACAGUGCUCACCCAAAGCAGGCUUUGGGAAGCGUGUUUCAAUGGAACAGACUUUGCCUUUCUAGGCAGAAAACUGCCAUCAUUUGGGAAUUUUUUUUUCCUCCAUAGUUUUCUUUCUCAUUAAUAUAGAGGCUAACAAUAAAGCCAAAGUAUUCUCUGUGUCCUAUAGGAGACCCCUCUGAUUCCAGAUCUCCCUCUCCCUUCCUGUCACGAGAGCGCCACUCAGUGGCCCCUGGGUGACUGGUAAGGCCGUUCCUGCCCUGCCUGUCCAUAAAGGCACAACUCAAUCCUUGAAGUCGUGACAUCGAGAUAUUGUAUAUGAAGAUGCCUGUAACCCACAUCAUUCACUCUUGUUGCAUGAAUAAUUCAGCAUAUAUUUAAUUAGUGCUGGUCCUGACAGGAGAACUAAGGAAGUGCAUUACCCCAACCAGCAUUGACAUGAAGAAGAAUUACUGGAAAUUACUUUCACACAUGAAACUGAGAAUCAGAAUUUGGAAUUUGCUGGUCACGCAUCUUGUGGGCUACUUCAUCCUAAAACUGUCAUCCAACCCGACAGCUUUCCAGUUGUUGGAAGAAUGGUUAUUAUGGCCUUCUUGGUGGAUUUGAGUUCCACAAAUGUGAUCAACAGAACAGUUGAUUAUUGAGAAGGCAGAUUAGCCACUUCUUAAUUAAGCACAAAACAGAUCAGUAUGAGCUUGAACACCUUGGUCAAAGAAACAGACUAGUAAAAAUCGAAGUAUGGGAUAAUCAGGACCAAAGGUGAAGACCACAUUUUAAAGGCAUAAAAACACCAAAGCAAAUACCAACAACUUAAAAAAUAUAAAAAGAAGUUGUUUGAACUUCAGGAUAUUAAAAAUCAA
Molecule: long non-coding RNA, 2296 nt
Organism: Lynx canadensis (Canada lynx)
Lineage: Eukaryota; Metazoa; Chordata; Mammalia; Carnivora; Felidae
Exons: 2
Source: RefSeq, a predicted model, not a curated record